Molecule: long non-coding RNA, 1530 nt
Organism: Metopolophium dirhodum (rose-grain aphid)
Lineage: Eukaryota; Metazoa; Arthropoda; Insecta; Hemiptera; Aphididae
Exons: 3
Source: RefSeq, a predicted model, not a curated record
UGACAUGUCACCAUUGAUAAUAAAGAUUUACAUAAUAUAUAUUUAAUUUUCACCACAGAAUAGGUCAACCAUGACUACAAAAAAAAAAAUUUUAAUUUAAAUAAUUUACUCAUGACACAGUUGGUCACGAGGUCAGCCAUAGAGUAGUAUAGCAUAUUACAGCAUUUUUAGAAGCAUAUUUUGAGGACUUUUUGUGCACAUAAAUCCGGUCCCUACUUAUGAGUUAUGAUGAUGAUCAUUAAGCAACCAGUAAAUUGUCAUGGAAAUUGCUGCUUCUGAUGUUGUGUCCUGCUCCAGGCUUGGGAACAGUGCUCGACUUAGCAAAAUUAAAAUAAACACGUACACACAGUUUUCGCCAUCAUGAAUCGAGUAUACGACGACCAGAUCCUGACGGACUAUUUCGAUGUCGGGGAAGAGCGGGGAUACGCGAUGUCUGGACAGUGGCGUAAUUAGGAAUUUGGUUUGUCGGGGGGGGGAUAUACGUUUUUAGCAUGGACAUGAAUGGUCAUUAUCAAUACUUUGAUCAAAAUGUCAACGGUAAAAAAAUAGUUUUGGGGGGGAAUCCAUCCCCUUAAACCCCCCCCUAAUUACGCCCCUGCGAUAGACUGCACGAUGUCUAUUAUAUUGUUCCGGUGGUCAAGCAGGAGACAGACGCACAUCCUAAACGCCGUGGACGUACGUGGCGCCAACGGCGUAUCCACGGCGUGGAUAAGUAUCAAACAGGCCGGACGGCGUAUCCACGGCUUGGAUAAGUAUCAAACAGGCCGGACGACUGUUCUGCUGCUGCGGCCGCCGAUGGGAAUAACGGCCAGCAGAAUCCCGCCCCACCCCCGCCCCGGUGGUAAGUCACCCUAUACGUUCUUUGCAGGUCAACUCCGCGGAACGACGAGAUGGCGGACGACGGCGUUGCAAGCUCGCGCCUUUUGUCAACACUAGAGACCAUCGGCUGGCGGAUCCGGCAAACCGCGCCCGACCGCAUAGGGCGGCGCGUGCACGAAGUCGCGCGACUCGUAAGUCGUAACGGCGACGGGCGAGCCACGGAGCGAUAUAUUAAUUGUGCUAGGAACACGGACGUCAGCAUCGCCGGCGGACCCGCGGAAACCGUUCCAAGGUUUCAGGGUCCGGCGGUGCGCGACUCCUCAGCUGAGUGGGCGUGCCAGGACGAAAACCACGGAGAGUCCACCGAUUCACUCCGGUUUUCAACUUAUCGGCACGGCGUGAAGGAGGACACAGACGCGGCAAUGUCAGGAUUCCAGGACGAAAACCGCGUAGAGUAUCAGGAUCGCCGGCGCGGUGCGGUCCGCCGAUACUCUCGGGUUUUCGUCCAACGGUAACCCCGUCAGCCGAGUCUUACGCUUCCGGUCGCCGCCGAUUCCUCAAGCGCAAAUAUAUGGCUGUCUUAGCUAACUUUUAUUAGUUCAAAAACAUAAUUAUAGUGUUCAUAUAAUAAAUAAAUAAUAAUAAACAUAUUUAAAACCUCAGCUUUGUUAAAAUGUUAUAAGUUUAUGACAAUAUAAGGUAUGUUAUAAG